Molecule: non-coding RNA, 342 nt
Organism: Myodes glareolus (Bank vole)
Lineage: Eukaryota; Metazoa; Chordata; Mammalia; Rodentia; Cricetidae
Source: RefSeq, a predicted model, not a curated record
UUCUGUCUCCCAAGUGCUGGGAUUAAAGGUGUACACCACCACCACCACCACCACCACCACCACCACCACCACCACAACCCAGCUUUGGACAUCCAUAAUGAGAGGCGCUAAGCUCUGACAGAGAAGGGGACGGAAAACAUAGCCAACAGAGCCCAGGUCCCAUCUGUGGUCGCCUCUGACGGCUGCCGUGUCUGAUGAGGAAAUACCGGCCCUGGGAGAUUGCUUGGCUUGCUGCAGUCCACAUAACUGAUCCGAAAAAGAAAACCAAACCUAAUAAUAUCUGGAGUCCCGGAGUGGCCAUGACAGCUCAGCGGGUUAGAAGUGUUUGUCACGCAAGCUUGA